GAUCGAACUCUUAAAUGUUGCAAAAUUUUGGGAUAAAUUGUAAUUAGGGGUGAAAGGCUUAUCAAACUUAGUUAUAGCUGGUUUUCCACGAAACCUAUUUAAGUAGGGUGUUAUUUUUUAUAAUAAUUAGGUUUAAAUAACUAUAUCUAUAAUUAAUUUGUUAAUUAUAAAAUUAGUAUAUAAUAAUUAGUUAUUAUUAAAUAAUAAUCAGACUAUUAGCGCUAAGGUUUAUAGUCAAGAGAGAAACAGCUCAGAUUAAACAAUAAGGUCUUUAAAAAUAAAUAAUUAUGGAGAUUAUUUUUGUUAAUACUAAUAAGAUGUAGGCUUGGAAGCAGCCAUCAUUUUAAAAAAGCGUAAAAGCUUAAUAUUAGAUAAAUUAAUGUUAAAAAUUAAUUGAUACUUAAAUAAUCAUAGAUGAAGAGAGAAUAAUUUUUAUUUACCGAAUUGAUAAAUCGAAAGAUGGUAGUGGAACGUUUUGUAUAAAAAAAUAAAAUUGUGAAAUUUUAUAUUUUAUCAAUAUUGAUAAUGCUAGCAUGAGUAGUAGACAUAAUGUGAGAAUCAUUAUCGCCUGAUAUACAAGGGUUACUAAAUUUGAUAAUCUUAUUUAGUGUAAGUCGAUUUCUAAGAUAUAAAAGUAUAUUGUUAUCAAUGAAUAUAAAAUAUAAAAUAUCUAAUAAACUACUUUUUAUGUUAUAUAAAAUUUUUUAUAAUAUAUUUAAUAGGUGGUUUAGUGACUGGAAAUGUUUAUAUUUUAUUAAAUCGUACUAACUCUAACACAAGUGUUUAAGUAGAAUAUAUAAUGGCGAAGGAGUAAAAAGUAUUGAAGGAACUAGGCAAAAUAACCCUGUAACUUUGGGAGAAAGGGGGCUUUUAAGCAACUGAAAAGAGAGAGUAGCGACUGUUUAAUAAAAACAUAAGAUUUUGCAAAAUUUAAAUAUGAUGUAUAAAAUCUGACCUGCCCGGUGCUGCAAGGUGAAUCUAUUUUAGUUAACGCUGAAAUAUUAAACCCCAGUAAACGGCGGCCGUAACCUGACGGUCCUAAGGUAGCAAAAUUCCUUGGCGGGUAAGUUCCGUCCUGCAUGAAUGGUGUAACGACUGCUCUGCUGUCUCCAAUACUUGCUCUACGAAAUUGAACUUUCCGUGAGAUGCGGCAUAUUACAACUAGACGGGAAGACCCUAUGCACCUUUACUGUUAUCUGUAAUUAAUUUUUUUUUAUAUUUAACUAGACAAGUAGGAGGUUUAUACUAAAAAUGGAAAACUACUUGAAUAUAUUAAAAAAUUACAUAUAAAUAAAAUAAAUUUUAAUUAUUUUUGUUAUUGAAAGACAGUUUGACUGGGGCGGUCUCCUCCUAAAAAGUAACGGAGGAGUAUAAUAAUUUGGGGUAUCUUAUUUUAAUUGAGAUC
Molecule: ribosomal RNA, 1405 nt
Filed under: Tetrahymena thermophila
Lineage: Eukaryota; Ciliophora; Oligohymenophorea; Hymenostomatida; Tetrahymenidae
Description: bacterial LSU rRNA
Rfam family: Bacterial large subunit ribosomal RNA
Source: RNAcentral